RNAcentral lists this transfer RNA (67 nucleotides) under Urocyon cinereoargenteus (gray fox). Its description in RNAcentral is "tRNA-Trp". Lineage: Eukaryota; Metazoa; Chordata; Mammalia; Carnivora; Canidae. The record is from RNAcentral. RNAcentral also lists the same sequence under 6 other names.
AGAGGUUUAGGCUAAACCAGACCGAGAGCCUUCAAAGCUCUAAGCAAGUACGAUAUACUUAACCUCU